RNAcentral lists this ribosomal RNA (913 nucleotides) under uncultured archaeon. Its description in RNAcentral is "bacterial SSU rRNA". It matches the Rfam family "Archaeal small subunit ribosomal RNA", at positions 1 to 921 of the family's 1478-position model. The record is from RNAcentral.
UCCGGUUGAUCCCGCCGGAGGUUACUGCUAUCGAGGUUCGACUAAGCCAUGCGAGUCGAAUGUAGCAAUACAUGGCGUACUGCUCAGUAACACGUGGAUAACCUACCCUUGAGAUGGGGAUAAACCCGGGAAACUGGGUAUAAUACCCGAUAGAUCUCGACUGCUGGAAUGCAUCGAGCUCCAAAGCUCCGGCGCUCAAGGAUGGGUCUGCGGCCUAUCAGGUAGUAGUGGGUGUAGCGUACCUACUAGCCUACGACGGGUACGGGUUGUGAGAGCAAGAGCCCGGAGAUGGAUUCUGAGACACGAAUCCAGGCCCUACGGGGUGCAGCAGGCGCGAAAACUUUACAAUGCUGGAAACAGCGAUAAGGGGACCUCGAGUGCCAGGUUACAAAUCUGGCUGUCGUGAUGCCUAAAAAGCAUUGCAUAGCAAGGGCCGGGCAAGACCGGUGCCAGCCGCCGCGGUAACACCGGCGGCUCGAGUGGUAACCGUUAUUAUUGGGUCUAAAGGGUCUGUAGCCGGCCGGAUAAGUCUCUUGGGAAAUCUGGCAGCUUAACUGUCAGGCUUUCAGGAGAUACUGUCUGGCUCGAGGCCGGGAGAGGUGAGAGGUACUUCAGGGGUAGGGGUGAAAUCUUGUAAUCCUUGAAGGACCACCAGUGGCGAAGGCGUCUCACCAGAACGGACCUGACGGCAAGGGACGAAAGCUAGGGGCACGAACCGGAUUAGAUACCCGGGUAGUCCUAGCCGUAAACGAUACUCGCUAGGUGUCGGCCACGGUGCGACCGUUGUCGGUGCCGUAGGGAAGCCGUGAAGCGAGCCACCUGGGAAGUACGGCCGCAAGGCUGAAACUUAAAGGAAUUGGCGGGGGAGCACCACAACGGGUGGAGCUUGCGGUUUAAUUGGAUUCAACGCCGG